UUCUCUACCGUGUCGCGUGACCGUUUCUUCUGUCUCUCUAUAUAAAUGUUUCGUGUCACUUUCUUCUCUCAUUUCCACCCUCAAGAGUCACUCUCUUCUCUCACUCUUCAUUCGUUUCCACUGUCUAGAGUCUCUCUGUUUCUUCGCACUGCCACACGCCAAUGCCUCAUCUUCGGUUAGAUGUCUAGACUGUUCUUUCCCUUUUCUUCUGUUUCUGCAAUUCAGACUCUGCUUUUCAUUCCUGUGUCUGUGUUCAAGUUCUUUCUUGAACUUGCAUGUUCUUGUUUUCAAGACCGGCUGGUUGUUUCUUGAACUGGCGUGUUCUUGUUUUCAAAAUCGGGAGUGCUGUUUGGUGGUAAACUGGAUUCACAUGACUCAAUAACUGAUCUGCUUUUAAGCUUUCCUAUCAGUUUCUGGGUUCUCUUCCGUUCCGUCCUUUGUUCUCCGCUUCUUUAAGAUUCUUCAGUGCUUAUCUAUUCAGCGCCUUAGCUCCUCAGGUGGCGGUAGUUGUACUGGUGGCUGUGAUGGUGGAACUGGAAGCAGUAGCGGUGCUUCAAGAGAAAUUGUUAAAGACAGAUAGCCUUUCAAUUGCUUUUUUAUGAGUAAUUUCUUUACUAGAUUUGACACAUCUACAUGUAUUAUGUUAUCAGGUUUGAUGUAUGGAUA
Cajanus cajan (pigeon pea) is the source of this 666-nucleotide non-coding RNA. The record is from RefSeq and is a predicted model, not a curated record. NCBI's taxonomy places the organism in Eukaryota, Viridiplantae, Streptophyta, Magnoliopsida, Fabales, Fabaceae.